This 253-nucleotide ribosomal RNA is filed under the name uncultured prokaryote. Its description in RNAcentral is "partial 16S ribosomal RNA". It matches the Rfam family "Bacterial small subunit ribosomal RNA", at positions 524 to 776 of the family's 1533-position model. The record is from RNAcentral.
UACAGAGGUGGCGAGCGUUGUUCGGGUUUAUUGGGCGUAAAGGGUCCGUAGGCGGCUCGGAAAGUCGGAUGUGAAAUCCCACAGCUCAACUGUGGAACUGCAUUCGAAACUUCCAAGCUAGAGUAUGAGAGGGGUAAAGGGAAUUCCCGGUGUAAGGGUGAAAUCUGCAGAGAUCGGGAGGAACACCAGUCGCGAAGGCGCUUUACUGGCUCAUUACUGGCGCUCAGGGACGAAAGCUAGGGUAGCAAACGGG